This 586-nucleotide long non-coding RNA is filed under the name Musa acuminata (dwarf banana). RNAcentral describes it as "long non-coding RNA (MACU_LNC010619)". Lineage: Eukaryota; Viridiplantae; Streptophyta; Magnoliopsida; Zingiberales; Musaceae. The record is from RNAcentral.
AAACACCAGUCUUUAGGGGUACCCAAUCUCCUCUGAUCUGUCCCUUUGAGGAAACACAUCCGUUUGAGCAAACUCACACAUCAUCUGUCAAAGAUAUUGGGAUUCGGAUGGACCGAUUCGAACAAAGACAAGAACGGCUUGAACUUCGACAAGAUCAAAUCCUAACUGAGCUGCAGCAAAUUCAUCGACAAUUUGACUCUUUAUUUAGGCACUUUAACCUUCCACCUCAUGAAUGAACUUGUAUGAACACAAUCAUCCUUUGUUGUUAUAAACUCCUCAUGGACUUUGUCUUUGAUAUGGCAUGUUGAAAACUCCUUAUGUUACUCAUCAUGAAGGACUUUGUCUUUGAUAUGGUUACCUGAUAUGUUGUAAACUCCAUAUGUUACUCUUUACCUUGAUCUGUAAGCAUAUGCAAAGUUACAAACAUCUCUUGUUGUUUAUCUCGGAUUUUACAUUGAAACUAAAUGUUUUGAAAACCUUAUGCCUUGAUAAAUAUAAAGUGACAUACCAAUGUAUUUGAUAAGUCAGCAAUAUGACAUUGAUAUGAAACAUCAACUAGCUGAUAUCUUUACAAAACCUCUAAGUG